This 484-nucleotide ribosomal RNA is filed under the name uncultured bacterium. RNAcentral describes it as "partial 16S ribosomal RNA". It matches the Rfam family "Bacterial small subunit ribosomal RNA", at positions 30 to 507 of the family's 1533-position model. The record is from RNAcentral.
AUUGAACGCUGGCGGCAGGCCUAACACAUGCAAGUCGAGCGGAUGAAGGGAGCUUGCUCCUGGAUUCAGCGGCGGACGGGUGAGUAAUGCCUAGGAAUCUGCCUGGUAGUGGGGGAUAACGUCCGGAAACGGGCGCUAAUACCGCAUACGUCCUGAGGGAGAAAGUGGGGGAUCUUCGGACCUCACGCUAUCAGAUGAGCCUAGGCCGGAUUAGCUAGUUGGUGGGGUAAAGGCCUACCAAGGCGACGAUCCGUAACUGGUCUGAGAGGAUGAUCAGUCACACUGGAACUGAGACACGGUCCAGACUCCUACGGGAGGCAGCAGUGGGGAAUAUUGGACAAUGGGCGAAAGCCUGAUCCAGCCAUGCCGCGUGUGUGAAGAAGGUCUUCGGAUUGUAAAGCACUUUAAGUUGGGAGGAAGGGCAGUAAGUUAAUACCUUGCUGUUUUGACGUUACCGACAGAAUAAGCACCGGCUAACUUCGUG